Molecule: long non-coding RNA, 1770 nt
Filed under: Phoenix dactylifera (date palm)
Lineage: Eukaryota; Viridiplantae; Streptophyta; Magnoliopsida; Arecales; Arecaceae
Description: long non-coding RNA (PDAC_LNC007903)
Source: RNAcentral
AAUAAAAGAAAAUGACUCGGACUCAAAUGGACCCAAUCCGGGUCUAACUCAAUCCGGGGCUCAGGGUCAUCUGAAUAAAGGGCUCUGAUGUCCCCAUCAUAUCUUCUUUUGGCACUUCCUCUUUGCAUCUAUCUUCUUUUGCUGAUUGUUGGAAGCCUAAGAGGAAAUGCUCUACUAUCUUUAAUGGUACACUCUCCUCUUUGCAACCCUUUUGGAACAUAUCUUCUUUUGUUGUUGGGAAUGGGUUGAAGCUAAUCUUUUGGAAGCACAAGUGGAUCCUGAAUUUACCUUUGAGAGCCUUAUUUGCCAACUUUUAUCAGGCUUCUAGGCUCAAAUCUAGGUAUGUGGCUCAAUUUUUCAAUCGAAGCUCUUGGCACUUCUAAUGUGGCACUUCCCUUUUGAGGCUGCGGCUAAACUGCAGUAUUUGUCUAGCAUCCUUAACGGGACUCUGCUGGAUCCAAACCUACCGGAUGAUCACUCAUAGUCCCUUACCGCCUCUGGUCUGUUCACCAUUGCAUCUUUGUACGGCUUCCUGAAAAGGGGAAUCAAAUGGGACUUCUAUUGUUUGGAAACUCAAAGUCCCUCUAAAGGUUAGAUGUUUCUUCUGGAUGACACUUCUUGACAAACUAAACACUAGGGGAAACAUUUUGAAAAGAAUGGAUAAGUCCCUUGGUGGCUGUCCCUGUCGCUCUAAUCCUUUAGAAACAGCUGCUUGUCUCUUCCUAUCUUGUCGUUUUGCCUCUCAAAUGUGGAGCAUUCUCUGCUUGCACCUAAAUGUCCCUUGCCCACAUGGUGAUCUAAAGGAUCUCAAUACCAAAUGGAUAUCAGCUUAUUCCUCAAGAGACAUAUUCUGCUGUGCUCAUGCUAAUUGUUGCUUUUCUUUGGUGCUGCUAGAAGAAGCGAAAUAGUCGAAUCUGCAUGAAUCAAAGUUCCUUACCUUCAUCCACUGACUUCUCUGCUAUUAGCUUGGUUAGUAGCUGGUCUAUUCUCCUUGAUCAUAAAUCCCUUCUCGAUUUGGCAAGCUGCAGGAUCGGAUUAGGAAGCUUUGAGGAUCAAGUGUUUCCUCUUCAGAUGAGCAUGGACGAUGCCUUCUUUCUGUUGUUGCUGUUGUCCGGCUUUGUGUGACUCUCCGAAUGAAAUGAAGCCCUCCUAUUGCACUUCCAUUGGUGCGGUUCUCACAGAAGGAGAAUAUGAUGGAAUCACAAGCAUUGUGAUGAUCCCAGGUUCUUUUGUGUUAUCUGAGCCACUUUGUCCGGCUCACCUGAGUCUCCUUUGUUUUUUUCCUUCUUUUACUUCUUAGCGUGCUCCUGUUUUCCUAUUUUUCUUUCUCUUGUAUAUUUCCUCUUCAGUCAUUCUGGAUGUACAUAAAACUUUUCUACUUCCGUUCCGGUGACUAUUGCGGCUUACUGCCCAUUAGUCUCCUUUAUUCUCAAAAAAGGAAAAAAGAUAACAACCUAGAGUAGUCACACACUAGAACGAGUAACGGGCUUCCAUCUCCGGCCCGGAUUGCGAGGGGCGUAUAGCAUCUCUUUCCCGCACGGUAGAGGAGAUAGCGAGAGUAGUGCUCGCUCUUCCUCCUCGCCUAUAGCGAACGGCAACAAGUGAUGGCGAUCUCCAGGUCCCUUCCGCUCCCUAUCUCUUAGAUUCCCUAUCCCAAAUUCCCAAAGUUGUUCCCAAUACCCAUCCCACCCAUGCGUCAAAGCUACUAACACAAAAAACAACAAAUAAACAAAUAAACAACAAAACGAUCCAAACUUUUUGAUCAAAGGG